Molecule: transfer RNA, 72 nt
Filed under: Chrysemys picta bellii (western painted turtle)
Lineage: Eukaryota; Metazoa; Chordata; Testudines; Emydidae
Description: tRNA-Pro (AGG) (tRNA-Pro-AGG-4-1)
Rfam family: tRNA
About the family: Transfer RNA (tRNA) molecules are approximately 80 nucleotides in length. Their secondary structure includes four short double-helical elements and three loops (D, anti-codon, and T loops). Further hydrogen bonds mediate the characteristic L-shaped molecular structure. tRNAs have two regions of fundamental functional importance: the anti-codon, which is responsible for specific mRNA codon recognition, and the 3' end, to which the tRNAs corresponding amino acid is attached (by aminoacyl-tRNA synthetases). tRNAs cope with the degeneracy of the genetic code in two manners: having more than one tRNA (with a specific anti-codon) for a particular amino acid; and 'wobble' base-pairing, i.e. permitting non-standard base-pairing at the 3rd anti-codon position.
Source: Rfam by way of RNAcentral
GGCUUGUUCGUCUAGGGGUAUGAUUCUUGCUUAGGGUGCAAGAGGGCCCAGGUUCAAAUCCUAGACAAGCCC